RNAcentral lists this ribosomal RNA (299 nucleotides) under uncultured prokaryote. Its description in RNAcentral is "partial 16S ribosomal RNA". It matches the Rfam family "Bacterial small subunit ribosomal RNA", at positions 355 to 646 of the family's 1533-position model. The record is from RNAcentral.
CUAAGAAUCUUCCGCAAUGGGCGAAAGCCUGACGGAGCGACGCCGCGUGGACGAUGAAGGCCGAAAGGUUGUAAAGUCCUUUUCUCUGUGAAGAAUAAGUGGGGGAGGAAAUGCCCCUAUGAUGACGUUAGCAGAGGAAUAAGCUCCGGCUAAUUACGUGCCAGCAGCCGCGGUACUACGUAAGGGGCGAGCGUUGUUCGGAAUUAUUGGGUGUAAAGGGUGCGUAGGCGGUUUGACAAGUCUGGUGUUGAAGGCAACGGCUUAACCGUUGUUUGGCGCUGGAAACUGUUUGACUUGAG